Molecule: long non-coding RNA, 660 nt
Organism: Carassius auratus (goldfish)
Lineage: Eukaryota; Metazoa; Chordata; Actinopteri; Cypriniformes; Cyprinidae
Exons: 2
Source: RefSeq, a predicted model, not a curated record
AAGCAAGUUUAAGUAAUUGCGCUCAGGCGCUUUCUCAGUCGCCUACACUGGGUCCUUCAUUCCUACCGAACGACUCUUCUGGUCGAGUGUCCACGUGGAGAUGAGGAGAUGAGAGGCAUCACGCGCUCUUAAAGCGGUAAAGACGGCUUCAUUGUGUAGCAUGUGGGACAGCAGGCCUGCACCAGACACAUGGACCAGCUUACAUGGCACGUGGUCUGCAGCUACAUCUGUGCCUUUCAAAAGUCUCAUGUUAUGGACCACAAUCGAUGAUGCAUUUUACUACAUAAUGUAAUCCAUAAACAUGUAAAGUCUAAAAUCUUUUUUAUUAUAAAGGUUCUAUAUAUUCACUGAGGAGUGAUGCUUUCUAGUUGGAGGUAAAUCACUCCGCAUUCAAGAACUAGUGAUUAACUCCAUGACAAACCUGAUUUGUUCCUCUUUUGCUGCUUUGUAAUGAUUUGUAUUAGUAAAAAGUGUUGAAUGCUUGACUUUGAGUUCAAUAAGGUCUGACUUGGGCACAUUGCUAGAUUUUCAGCAUUCAUAUGUUCAUGCUGAGUCCAAGUGUUUCUGUGGCUUAAUAUUUCUCGUUCUCUUCCAGAUGCUGUUUUCUGUGUAUGUGAAUUUGCACUACAUUUUAUAAAUAAAACCUUGUGCUUAACAGUC